Molecule: long non-coding RNA, 570 nt
Organism: Haliotis rubra (blacklip abalone)
Lineage: Eukaryota; Metazoa; Mollusca; Gastropoda; Lepetellida; Haliotidae
Exons: 2
Source: RefSeq, a predicted model, not a curated record
UGUGUUGUGCGACAGCUUUAGACACAACGGUAUAUGUUCCUGUUGAAAACCGGUACUUUUCAAUUAUUUCAUGACAUGUUGGCCAUCCCUGUAUUUGCCACCUAUACCUAACAGCUAAAGCAACACCAUCAAAGUAGGUUCAACACCCAAACAGCAAACUGUCUCCAUUACACGUAGCAUAUCCUGUUUUGACGUGUUGGCAAUGCAGCUGUUACCGGCAGCGAUCAUCACCUGCUUGUGGACAACUGGCUCACAACUCUAGUUUAGACUUAAAUUAAUGUAAAUGAAGAGAGACUGUCAAAUCACAUACUAGUAUCUGUCAUUCCUAUUUACAGAUCACUUUAUAUGCUAAAUGUAAAAAUAACCUAACAUUUCUCAUUCUCAUUCAUAGAUGUUGAAAUUUAACCUGUGGAAAUGCAGAUUGUUUGUCAUAAGCUGUAUCACAGGCUAAAAACAAGACAUGUCAUUCAGUUCUAUUUCAAUUCGGAUGAAAAAACAGGGUAAAAGAACCUGGAACAUAAGAUUGAGAGAAUCUAAUAAACCAGACUGAUAACAAAAGUCAGCAUUAGA